UGGCUGAAACCACCACCAUCCUUGCCUUCCUCUGAGAAAAAUUCAAGGUGGGUACUGACAAAAAUUGAGCCUUAGGCUUAUUCAAUAUUAUGAAUUGAGGUUUCUUGAAUAAGGACUGGGAUUGUGAGAUGGGUGUUAUAGAAGCCAUCACAGGAUUAAGAAAAAAUUAAUGACUUGGCGUGGACAGAUCAAACAAGGGUUAUUGUUGAGUGCAAACAAGAUAUGAGUAUUGAGUUAGAGUAAUCUUGAAGCUAGAGGCUUAUAGAUUCAAGUAAGAGUAUGUAUAUGUUCGAACUAAAAUAUGGAUUUUUGCUUGUUUAUUGGUGGUGGAUGAUGACAACUACAAGGCCAUUCUUCGAAGGAUAUGGAUAUGUUUAUUGAUUCCCUUUUGUUUAUUGAAUGUUCAGAAGAUGUUCCGUCACGGCAGAGACAAUGGGUGGUGCUGUUCCAUGCGCUACGACGUCGUGUUACGUAGUUUAUUUUUUAAUUAUUGUGGCUUUCUAUACAUGGAAUUAUUUAUGCCAUCAAAUUUAGGCAUUCGAGAACAAUAAAAUAAUAUUUGCUAAUUUUAGAGUAUCGGAACAGGAAAAUUGCAAUAGAGGUUAUUAAACUUUUAUAAUACUUGUAAUUAGAUCAUUGAACUUUAAUUUAGUACAGUCUAGCCCCCACACUUUAAUUUACGAGCAACCAUAUUACUCCAUUUGACUUUUAAAAACGAGAAUACCAUGGUUAAUUAAUUUAGCCUCCGUUUCGCCUCCAUUUUUUUUCCCAAAUUUUAACAUUUAAAAUAGUAAUUUUUUUUUGAAAAAUGUGUAGUUGAAAAGAAAUGAAAUUUUUUUGAUUUACCUAUAAUAUUAUUUUAUAAAAGAUUGUGUAGUUGAAAAUAAAAGAGAAACAAACUGAAAGAGAAUAGGGGCAAAACGAGGGCUUACUAAUGAUUGACUUAGUCUUUGUUUGGAUUUCAUUAUAAGUUAAUGAAAAUAUAACGUGAAAGAACGUAGAUGAGUUGGUAAUAGGCGUGGCACUUGCGAAUUAUAUAAUUAAACUUAAAGUUUAAUUUUGACCUUUAAAUUAUAAUGUUGUACUUAUAAUGAAAUUCAAGCAAACACAAUUGUUGUAUCAAUUUAAACUCUUUUUUUUACGUACUCAUUUUCGGCGUAAAAAAAUCCAAUAUAAACGAAGAAUAUAAACACAAAAUACUAUGUCUUCUUUUGUAAGUGAGGUAUUUCUUUUCACCCCUAUCUUUUUGAUAAUUCAGAUGCGAAGUAUAUAUAACAUUACUCCCCUGGAUAGUUGAUAAACUUUAAGCUACUAGCAGGAGAAAAAUUUACAUUCACCAUCAACACUUUACAUUAUACAAAAUAAUAUUAAGUUACUUUAUAAUAAUUUAGAAGAGAGCAAAAUGUGGAAAAAAAAUAUAUGAUAAGAACAUUAAAUACCUCGAAAUAUUUACAUCAACGAAAACUAUGACUUUGAUUAUUAUUUGUCCAUGAUGUUCUAAAGAUCACUCGCAUUCCAAAAUUGCACAUUGACGUUUUGAUGAUAGAAAUUGUGUCGAUUAAAAUAUGAAGAAACCUUUAAGGGUUCGUUUGAUUAUAAGAAUGAGAUUUGGGUGGAAAGCAAAUGAAUUUUGCGGAAUUGAAUUGUCUAGAACUUGUUUUACUGGAAAUUAUCGAUUAAAUGUGUUUGACUGGUAUAAUUUUUCACCUGAAAAAUGUUGAAAUUUUCUAUCUUUUAGUGUCCAUUUCACUUUGUUUUUCAUGAAAAUUGUCAAUUAAAUGGAUAAAAUUUGUUACUUGUUCCAAUUAACCCCCCCCCCCCCCAAAAAAAAAAGAAAAAAGAAAAACUGGAAACCAAAAUUUCACCUACCAAAUCAAUGAAAAGGAGUCAUGUGGUGGGGGAGGGAAAAUCAAUUUCAAAAAAAAUUCUUGCAAUCAAAUAAGGAAAAAAGUGAAAAAUUCCAUUUUCCAUGGAAAAUGGAAUGGCUUGUAUCAAACAGGCGCUAAAUCUUUCCUAAUUUCUCCACCAACUGGAAUGACUUGAUUGCUCGAAAAUUUAUGUAUAGUAGUGUGAUUAUACCAAAAGAAAGUUCAGCCAUAGCUGCAAGUAUAGUCAAAGUUCAUUGACCUUUAGUACAAUUUGACAUUAUAAUAAGAUGAAUAGUAUAUUUUUUGAAAAAUGAAGGGUUGAAAAAUUUUCAAGUGAUGUGUAAUAUUAUUUUAUUGAAAAUUGUGUGGUUAAAAGUAAGAAAGAAAAAAUUUAAUUUAAUGUAUUGAAAAAUAAUGGAGCUCAUACGGGGGCAUAGUUAAUUUUGAUAGAUGUGGUAAAAUCCAAAUAGGGUAAUCAAUUGCUCCCUGUUUGAUUACAAUUUUUCUUUUCAACGAAAUAUUUUUCAUUAAAAUAAUAUUACACGUAAAUCAAAAAUUUUUCAUCUAGACAUUUUUGGUUAAUCUACUAUUCUAAAAUUCAUUUUUCCUUAAAAAUGGAUGUCAAACACUCACUAAAUAAAUAUAAUGUUUUGAUUGCACAAAAAAGAAGUUUAUUCACCUAUUAUGAUGUGUUUGAUAACAUUUAUUUUCUAUGAAAAAUAUCAGUUAUCCGCGCAAAUUCCUAGUGAAAAUUCAAUAACCUCCGGUGCAAUUCACACGUUUGUCCCUCUCUAACCCUUUUUCUUGAGAUUUUUUAGCGGAAUUAAGCUAGUUCGAGACCCUUUGAGGUGUUAUCAAGAUCAUUGAUUUGAAUAAAUAUUGUUAAAAUUAAUGAUAAAAUUGUGUGUCAUAUCAAAGCGUAUAAAUAAAACUGUCAACCAUGGUGUAAGUAUAACAAAACUUAUUUUCAACGUAAUAUUUUAUUGAUUAGAGCAGUCUGUCCCUAUUUCCAACCAAAUAUUCUAUUAAAAUGGUAUGGAAAGACAAUUUAUACAAACAGAGAUCUGAACAUGAAAAAUAAAUUAAAAAUUGACCAAACGACAGUUAAAAAAGAGUGACCAAACGACAGUUAAAAAAGAGAAUAACUUUCUUCUACCAUAAGUUCUACCACCACCUCGAAACCCACAAUUCAAUUCCAGCCAUCCCACAGCCCCCUUCCACCACAAACCCACGCACAAUUUAUGCCCUCGAGAUUAAAAUUAAAUUUUUAAUAGAGUUUGAUAAGAAUUGAUGAAACGUGUGGUUCAAAAAUCAUGAAUUCCACAAAAUAUGAUUGAAAUUAGUUAUUGAUUUUGACUUAAAUUGAAGAGGGUGCAUUCAAUUGAGACUUUUAAUAAUUUUUUGAUAUUUAAAAAGUUUAGGGGUAUUAAUUAAGACUUUUUGAGACUCUUUAAAAAUUAGAGUGUAUUCAAUUGAGAUUUCUAUAGACUUUCAAAAAGUCUAUAAAAGUUACGGUGUAUUCAAUUAAAUUUUUUUAUAAUUCUCUAUAAGUCUUAAGAUAUUCAAAUUUUAAUAACUUCCAGAAACUUUUAUUAAAGUAUUUGGAAUACUAACUUUUAAGCAGAAAGUACUCAUAUAAUAUCUUAAAAUUUGGCUCUCGUUAAUCACGAGAUUUUGAAAAACUUUCACAAAAAAAAAAGUUUUUUUUUCCCAAUCUUUCUUUCUUUUAACAUUUCAUGGACAUGUAUGAAUAAAUUUUUUUUUUAUUGAUUAUAUUUCAUUUAUCUUUCUUUCUCUCUAUCUCUUACUAUUUAUCUCUAUUUUCUAUGAAAAAAUUAUAUUAGAUUCUUGCAACUUUUUUUCCCCUUUUUCAUUCAUUUUUGGGGAAAAAAAUAUAUUUUUUAUUAAAUUAUAAAAAUUUUAUAUGAAAAAUUUAUAAUUAAAUUGAUAUAUAUAUAUAUAUAUAUAUAUAUAUAUAUAUAUGGGAAGAAGAAGGUAAAGGAAAAUGGGAAUUAUGGAAACUAACACUUCGUACGUGAGAAAUUAACACUAAAUCCACGUGAAUUCUAUUUCAAAUGAAAGUUUUAAAAAAUCUUUUGAAUUCUAUAAAAGUCUAUAUAAAUUUUAAAAUGAAAAUCCAUAUAAAUAUAUGAAAAACUUCCACUAAUUCCAUACAAAUCUAUAAAAGAUCCACAAAAUCUACAAAAGUCAUCACUUAAAAAAAUAUCUAUUAAAAUUUUCAAAAUUCUCAAUUGAAUAUGUUGGAAAAAAUGAGUGAACAGCUUACUUUUAGCACAAUUUUCGGUGGGACCGUUGGUCCAAUUUGAAAUAUCAAAAUUGAUAUGUGUUCUACUCCGCGAGAACGUCAAAGUCAUGUAUUUAUUUGCCAAAAUGAAGUUCGGGUGAAUUCUCAAUUGGAGUUUAAAAUGGACCACUGGAAAUGGUCUAUGUUGGUGGGAAAAUUAUAGUUAACUUUGUCCCACAUAAGAAAAACAUGGAAACCAAAAUCACUUUAUAUAUGGCUAUGCAUUGGAAUGAUGUGAUCAUGUGUAGCAUAGAGACUCUCUCCACGUGUGCGCUCAGGGGGUGCAAAUCACAGAUAGAAAUAGCCUUUGGACCUUGAACUUGGGUGCGGGUGUGACCUACGCACACGAAUGUCGAACCGAGGGGAGCAAAAACUGGCCAGUUUGGAUUGUCUGUGUUUUGCAAUUUUUUUGUGGUUUUUUCAAAUGAUUUUUGAGUGUCUGAAACUCAUGAACUUCAAUAGUCGAAACUGAAGUGUAACUCCAAAAAUUGCAAUAGUUAAUGCAGAAACUAAUGGUCAGAUCCAGCCUAUAUAAUUUCACUCAAUUCCAGCAGUUCAUACACUGAAAUUUUCGUCUACAAUUUCCAGCAGUUUACUCUGACAUAGUUCUAUUUUAUGUUUUUGUUCCGUCUCCUCCUGUGUCCAUUCCAGUAAGGUGAUAUUGUUCGAACACUCGCCCAAUUCGCAGGAGUAGAACCGCGGUGCUCAGACUCUGCUGGUUACCGUUAUAUUUUGGGAGACAAGCGCUCGAACUAAACCUCUAGCACUGCGGUGAGGGGCGAAUUUGUCUUAAGGAAACUAUGUUUACACAGGUCUCGGGUUGAAAAUUUAUCUACUGUUUAUUUCGUUUGCAUUUUAUUCUUACAGAUUUAUUUAUUUAACGAUUUACACAUUUGCAACAUACUUGACUCAUAUAUUGUUUGUUAAAUUUAUGUUAGAAAUAGAUAAAUUAAAUAAACUGUUUUUUUUCUAAUUCGUUCUAUGUGUGAAAAAUAGAUUUCACAUAUACGGUAUUUCUAUUUGUAAGUGAAAAAAUUGUGUUAUUUUAGUUAGUGUAUGAAUAAAAAUACUUUAUGCAAAUUUUGUGCAAAUACGGUAAAUACGGUGAGCUUCACCUGCAAAUACAGUGAGCUGCCAUAUAUAGUGAGCUUUCUGCACAUACAGUAGGCAGCAUAUACGGUAAGCUGCAAAUACGGUAAUGUGCAAAUACGGUAAGGUGCCUGGCAUAUACGGUAAGGUGCUUGACAUAUACAAUAAGCUGUCAUAUACGGUGAAUUGAACUGCCAAACAUGGUAAGCGUGAAUUCGGUUUCUAAAACACAAAUACGGUAUAUGAGAACCCGAUUCCACUCCAUACACCACCAAUUAAAUAAAACAACAAACUUAAGACAAAUUCUUAAUACGUAUUAGUAGUAAACAAGUUUAUUUGUUUAUUGGAAAGUAAUAUUUGUUUCAUUUUCGGAAAUGGCUGCUGAACCAACCAACAUGGAUGUGACCUAACCUGUUCCUGCUAGAAAUCAAGUUGUAGGCUCUACUAUGGCACAAGGGCCAAGCUGCUCUGCUGUGGCUAACUUGCCUAGUCAUGUUUUGAGUCAAACUGUGGCUCCAACAAGUGGCCAAAUGAUUACUGUUCCAGUUAAUCAUGGAGAGAAAUCGGAGAAAUUCAAUGGCUUGAAUUUCAAGAGGCAAUAGCAGAAAAUGCUGGUUUACCUGGCCACCUUGAAUUUUGUGAGAUUUUUGAUUGAGAUUGCUCUUGUACUCAAUGAAGGAGAAGGAGAUAUUCAAGCAGUCAGUGCACUUGACGCUUGGAAGCAUUCGGACUUUUUAUGCCGAAACUACAUUAUGAAUAGUUUAGCAGAUACGCUAUACAAUCUGUAUAGCACGAUGAAAACUGUUAAGGAGUUGUGAGAGUCUUUGGACCGAAAAUACAAAACUGAGGAUGCCAGGGCUAAAAAGUUUAUAGUCAGCAGGUUCCUAGACUAUAAGAUGGUAGACUCCAAAACUGUUAUCAGUCAAGUGCAAGAACUCCAAGUGAUUCUUCAAGAAAUUCUUGCCGAAGGGAUGGUGUUGAGUGAAACCUUUCAAGUGGCAACAAUUAUUGAAAAAUUGCCACCCAUAUGGAAAGAUUUCAAAAACUAUUUGAAACACAAACGAAAGGAAAUGAGCGUUGAAAAACUUAUUGUUAGAUUUCGAAUUGAAGAAGACAACAAAAGUUCAGAAAAGAAGUGGUUCAAUCUUGGUGUGGCUAAAGCCAAUGUUGUGGAGCAUGAUCAAAACAGUAAAUUUACAAAAAUAAGUUUGGGCCAUCCGGUGGAAAAAAGACCAAGUACGGACCGAAAGGUGGAAUUUCUAAGAAGAAAUUUCAAGGAAAAUACUUCAAUUGUGACAAAGUAGGCCACAAAUUUUCGGAGUGUAGAAUGCCAAAGAAGAAGACGAAAGAAGCAAUUAUGGUUGACUACAUGGUACAAGAUGUCUCAGAAAUAAAUCUCGUAGCCGUCAUUUGUAACGCCCCGAACUCUUUUUCAUUAUUAUUGAUAUUUUUAAAUAAAAAUGAGCUCAAUGUGCUACCAAAACUUUUCUCUAUCUAAUUUAAGCGAAAAUAUAUCGAAAAUAUUCGAUUUCAAAUUAUUAAACAACAUAAUAAAUAUCGUGCAUAAAUAUUAACACAAAGAUAUUCUUUAUAUAAAUUGACGAUUGUCUUUUCUAGAAAUUUUACUUGACGACCACAUUAGCAUCGCUCCGUCAAUCUUCCACGUGUCCUCACAACCUGUUCUUAUCUGAAAAUAUUGUAAGAGUGAGUAUUUUGAAAACACUCAGUAAGAAUACGUGCAUAUCCUUUUUCACAUAAUAUAAAUAUAAAAAUAGCAUAACAUACCAACAUUUCUUAGGAAUUUCUUAAGAAUCCCUAUAUCUCGUAGGAUUUAAUUUCUUUUCUUUGACCUGACGGUCUAUCCCGAAAGAUUUAACUUCUUCUCUUUGACUUAACGGUCUAUCCCGAAAGAUUUAACAUAGCAUUCGACCCGAAGGCCUUAAAGUAUCUCAUGCCAAAACUUACAUAUAUAUCAAGGAAUAAGAAUUUACCACUUGCACCAUGUAUUCUUACCCCAAUUUGAUAUCCAAGAAUUUACUUGAAACUGACUUUGUGAAAAGAUAUAAAUAUUAUACUCUAUUAAAUUCUAAAAAUAUUAGUGGUGUGGAGUGUACAAUAUACUAUUGUUGUAGAAUAUAAUUUUCAUCUCAAAUACACCUAUUUAUAUAUUCCACACACGUAACUUACGUAACAUCAAAAGGCAUUUCACGUUAAUGGAAGAAUAAUGGAGUUAAACCACCAAAAGUGGACGUUUAUAAUUACGGUUACAAAUUGAAAAGCCACCUGAUCAUUAAUUGAGGAUUAAUGUAAUUAAACAACUAGGAUUUAAUUAAAAAUCAAUUAAAGUGAACGUGAUGGUUACGGUUAUAAAUUUGAAAGGACACCUCCACGUUUAAUUAGAGUUAAUGUCAUGGUUAUGGAAUGUAUUAUAAAUUUCUAAAUCAAUUAAAGUGGAUGACAUUACAUAACCAUACAAUGAAACUAUUCAUUUGGUUAUUAUUUUAUAUUAUAUAUGUAUUAAUAUAAUAUUUGAGAAUGAUAAUUUUCUUUCUAUUAGAAUAACUCGGGCAUAACUAGCUCGAAAUUACUUUUUCUUAAGCUCAAAUUAUAUUAUUUAAUACGAGCUACAAAACGAGUAUAAUAUCAGUAUAUUUUUAUCAACUUUAAAAAUACUUAAAUAUUCUAUUCAAAUAAUUUUCUAAAAGUGCUCGUAACUCGUAAGCAAAUAAAUUAUUUAUACGAAUAUGCGAGUCGAGUCUACCACUUCAACUUUGGACUUUUAAUAUAAUGACAAAUCUUCACAUUUUCAUUUGCUAAAUAAUAAGUUCAGAUUCACAUAGUAAAAUGCAGGGUGUUACAUCAUUUCUGAAGUGAAAAUAUUGGGUUCAAACCCUACGGAGUGAUAGAUUGACACUGAUGCUACGAGGUAUGUGUGCUCUGAUAAAGAGUUGUUUGCUACGUUUGAAGCAAUUGAGAACGGGGAGAAGUUGUUCAUGAAAAAUUCAGCAACCUCUGAAAUCAAGGAUCAAGGAAAGGUGCUUCUAAAGAUGACCUCGGGAAAGGAGCUGACUCUUAACAAUAUGUUAUAUGUGCUAAAAAUUCGUAAGAAUUUAAUGUCCGGGUUGCUUUUGAAUAAGUAUGGUUUUCGCAUUGUAUUUGAGUCAGACAAAGUCAUUCUAUCAAAAAGUGAAAUAUUUGUUGGAAAAGGUUAAGUUUUCGACGGUAUGUUUAAGCUGAAUGUAAUGGUUGUGAAACCAAAAAUGAAUAAAACAAAUUCUCCUGCUUAUUUGCUUGAGUCUUCCAAUUUGUGGCAUGGUAGACUAGGACAUGUUAAUUAUGAUACUUUACAUAGACUAGUUAACUCGAAUUGCAUACCCAAAUUCCAUAAUGAUUCCGAACAUAAGUGUGGAACUUGUGUUGAUACAAAAUUGACAAGGUCAUCCUUUAAGUCAGUUGAAUGGAACACAGAACCACUUGAUUUAAUUCACAGUGAUGUUUGUGACUUAAAACUUGUACAAACAAGAGGUGGCAACAAGUAUUUUAUUACUUUUGUCGACGAUAGCACAAAAUACAGUUAUGUAUAUCUGCUUAAAAGCAAUGAUGAAGCUAUAGAGAAAUUUGUUCUCUAUAAGAAUGAAGUUGAAACUCAACUCAAUAAGAAAAUUAAGAUACUACGGAGUGAUCGAGGUGGUGAGUAUGGAGCACCAUUUGUCGAUUUCUGUGCACAACACGGAAUCAUACAUGAAACCACCUCAUCUUAUUCACCGAAACAAACGGUGUAGUUUAACGAAAAAAUUGUAACUUAAAAGAAAAGAUGAAUACAAUGCUAGUAAGUUCUGAGUUAUCUCAGAACAUGUGGAGGAAAGCUGUGUUAUCAACAAAUUACCUUUUAAAUAAGGUGCCUCGAAAGAAAUCGGAAAAGACUCCUUAUGAGUUAUGGAAAGGAAGAAAGUCAACCUAUAAACACUUGUGAGUGUGGGGGUGUCUUGCAAAAGUGGCGUUCCAAUACUAAAGAAGGUAAUGAUAUGCCCGAAACUGUAGACUGUGUCUUCAUUGGCUAUGCAUGUAAUAGCAGUGCUUAUUGGUUUCUUGUGUAUGAUUCAAAAAUUCUAGACAUACAAAAAAACACGAUAAUGGAUCGAGGAAUGCUUCAUUCUUUGAAGAAGUAUUUCCAUACAGGUCCAAAGUGGAAGCCAGCUCUUCUAAACGAACAUAUGAGAUAAUAACUGAAAAUAGUCAGGAUGAAUAAUUAGAAGAGGAGACUGAGGUUAGACGUAGCAAACGGGAAAUGACAGAAAAGUCUUAUGGUCCUAAUUUUCUGACCUAUAUGCUAGAAAGUGAACUUCAAAGUUAUCAAGAAGCUAUGAAUUACUCGAAAAGACCUCACUGAAAAGAUGCCAUUAAAGAUGAAAUAGAUUCCAUACUACAAAAUCAUACAUGGGAGCUAGUGGAUCUUCCUCCUGAAUGCAAACCACUAGGCUACAAAUGAUUUUUUAAAAGGAAAAUGAAAGCAGAUGUAACUAUCGAAAAGUACAAUGCCAGAUUAGUAAUAAAAUGUUACAAACAAAGGGAAUACCUUGAUUACUUUGAUAUGUAUUCUCCAGUGACGAGAAUAACAUCUAUUAGGGUGAUACUUGCAAUUGCUGCUUUGUGAAAUCUAGAAGUAUAUCAAAUAGAUGUUAAAACUGCCUUUCUAAAUGAAAAUUUAAAAGAAGAAAUUUACAUGGAACAACCUGAGGAGUUUCAUCACUAGGACAGGAAAAGAAAGUUUGUAAACUGGUAAAAUCACUAUAUGGUUUGAAACAAGCACCCAAACAAUGACAUGAAAAAUUUGACAAUGUCAUAAUAGAGAGUGAAUUUGAAAUUAAUGAAUGUGACAAAUGUGUUUACGUCAAAGAUAUUAAAGAUGGCUAUAUUAUUUUAUGUCUUUACGUUGAUGACAUACUUAUUGUUGGUAGUAACAAUAAAAUGAUUGAAUCUACUAAAAAUAUAUUAAAUUCGAGAUUUGAUAUGAAAGAGAUGAUGUUAUACUUGGAGUCAAAAUCUCAAGAAUAUCAGAUGAGCUUGUUCUAAGCCAGUCAAAUUAUGUGAACAAAAUUUUGGAAAAGUUCAGUAAGGAUGAUACUGGCUUGACCAGAACACCGAUAGAUACAGGUCAACAUCUAUCCAAAAAUAAGGGUGAAAGUGUCUUUCGAAUAGAAUACUCGAGGGUUAUUGGAAGUCUAAUGUACUUAAUGAGUUGUACAAGACCAGACAUAUCCUACACAGUUAGUAAAUUGAGUAGAUAUACGAGUAAUCCAGGAAAUGAUCACUGGAAAGGUAUAGUAAGAGUACUGAGGUACUUAAGAUAUACUCAUGACUAUGGAAUACACUACAUCAGACAUCCAGCAGUCAUUGAAGGAUACAGUGAUGCUAAUUGGAUAUCUAAUAUAAAAGACUCAAAGUCCACCAAUGGAUAUGUGUUCACUUUGAGAGGUGCUGCCAUCUCGUGGAAAUCCUCUAAGCAAACGGUUAUAGCCAGAUCUAUGAUGGAAUCUGAGUUUAUAGCCCUAGAUAAAUGUGGUGAAGAGGCCGAAUUGUUGUGCAACUUCUUAGAGGAUAUUCCAAAAUGGUCUAAACCUGUACCUGCAAUUUGCAUAUAUUGUGACAGCCAAUCAGCAAUAGGAAGGGCACAGAGUAAUAUGUACAAUCGUAAGUCUACACAUAUACGUCGUAGACACAAUACCAUUUGACAACUACUCUCAACUGGAGUUAUCACAAUUGACUAUGUUAGGUCAAAGGAUAACAUUGCGAAUCCGCUAACUAAAGGGUUAAAUAGAGAGUUAGUUGAGAAAUCAUCGAAAGGAAUGAAACUCAAGCCCUUGAAAGAAUAAAUCAUUACAAAGGAAACCCAAUCUAGUUGACUGGAGAUCCCAAGAUCUAGGUUCAAAGGGACAACCUAACUGUAAAGACUUGAUAAAAUUACUGUGGGGUAUCACCUCCUGUCCAUUUCUAUGAUAUAACAGUGAUGCCCGUAAGGAUGAAGGUUAAUCAAUAGGCUCUUAAUGAUUCUUACGCGUCGAAAAUUGAGCAAAGAUGCAGGUUACUUGUAAUAAGAAAUCAUCCGUGUGAGAAAGAAAUGGGGCCGCUUCUAAAAGAAUGGUGUAGGGGCUCAAUUCUUAGAAACUCUCACAGAACCAGACAUAUGUUCAUGGCCAAAACGAACAUAAUAAUAAGAAUUGAAGGGUGUUAGGAAGAAUCCUGUGAAGUAUAUCAUCGUUUACACAAAUGGCAGAACAGUUCAAAGACAUCGCGUCUACUGGUCAGCCAGUAAAGUAAUUAUGCUUUCACAAGGGAAUGUUCAAAGGGUAACACCUACCUAUCUUAUGCAGGUUUCAACCAUUGAACUUUAUCACCAAGUCUUAUGUCGCACGUUUUGUGUCUUUCCCAAUUUUCAUUCAUGUGGGGGAUUGUUGGAAAAAAUGAGUGAACGAUUCACUUUUGGCACAAUUUUCGGUGGGACCCAUUGGUCCAAUUUGGAAUAUCAAAGUUGAUAUGUGUUCUUCUCCGCGAGAACAUCGAAAUCAUGUAUUUAUUUGCCAAAAAUGAAGCUCGAGUGAAUGAAAAUUUGGAGUUUAAAGUGGACCAUUGAAAAUGGUCUAUGUUGGUGGGAAAACUAUAGUUAACUAUGUCACACAUAGAAAAAAUAUGGAAACCAAAACCAUUUUAUAUAUGACUAUACAUUGGAAUGGUGUGAUCAUGUGUAGCAUAGAGGCUCUCUCCACGUGCGCGCGUAGGGGAUGCUAAUCACGGACAGAAAUAGCAUUCGGACCUUGAACUUGGGUGCGGGUGUGACCUGUGCACACGAAUAUCGAACCGAACGGAGCAAAAAGUUGCCAGUUUGGAUUGUCUGUAUUUUGCAAUUUUUUUGUGGUUUUUCCAAAUGAUUUUUGAGUGUCUGAGACUCCUAAAAUUUCAAUGUUCGAAACCGAAGUGUAACUCCAAAAACUGCAAUGGUUAAUGUAUAAACUAAUGGUCAGAUUCAGCCUAUAUAAUUUUACUCAAUUUUCAGCAGUUCAUACACUGAAAUUUUCGUCUGUAAUUUCCUGCAGUUUACUCAGACACAGUUCUAUUUUUUGUUUUUGUUCCGUCUCCUCCUAUGUCCAUUCCAGUAAGGUGAUAUUGUUCGAACACUCGCCCAGUUCGCCGAAGUAAAACCGCGGUGCUCGAAUUCUACUGGUUACCGUUGCAUCCUGGGAGAUAGACAUUCGAACUAAACCUCUAGCACUACGGUGAUGGGGUGAAUUUGUCUUAAGGAAAGCCUCGGGUUGAAAAUUUAUCUACUAUUUAUUUAGUUUACAUUUUGUUCUUGCAGAUUUAUUUAUUUAACGAUUUAUACAUUUGCAACAUACUUGACUCAUAUAUUAUUUGUUAAAUUUAUGUUAGACAUAGAUAAAUAAAAUAAACUAUUUUUUCUAAUUCGUUAUAUGUGUGAAAAACAGAUUUAACAUGUACGGUAUUUCUAUCUGUAAAUGAAAAAAAUUUGUGUUAUAUUAGUUAGUGUAUGAAUAAAAAUAUUUUAUGCAAAUUUCGUGCAAAUACGAUGAGCUUCGCUUGCCAAUACAGUGAGCUGUCAUAUAUGGUAAGCUGUAAAUACGGUAAGGUGAAAAUAUGAUAAAUUGCAUGACAUAUACGGUAAGCUGCCAGAUACGGUGAGUUGUCUGGCAUAUACGGUACGGUAAAUUGAACUGCCAAAUACGGUAAGCGUGAAUCCGGUGUCUAAAACACAAAUACAGUAAAUGAGAGUUCGAUUCCACUCCAUACACUACCAAUUAAAUAUAACAACAGAAUACACCCCCCGAAAUCUGAAUUUAGUUAGUGUUUGUCAAUCACUCUCUCUUUCAAACUCAUUUAAACAUAUAUUUUGACAAUAAAAUAUUUUGCACAUAAAUUCCAAAUUUUCCCGCUUUUUAAACACACAUUUUUCAAAAAAUCAUUAUUCAAAAACUUAUUUUUUUCAAAAACCUUUUUUUAAUGGUUUUCAAAUAGGGGCUUGAUUUCUACUAAACAUGGGCUAUAUAUGUUUUGCAAUACUCCUCCAAGACUUUCCAAACACUCAAGAAUAGUUGUGAUGUAUAACUUUGGUAACCAGGUCAACGACCGUUUCAUAACAAUAACUUAGGAGUAGAGCCAGGCCAAAAUUUCAAACAUUUUUGCUCUCCAUUUUCUAAAACUCUUUUUCCCUCGAACUUAUUCCAUAUUAUAGGCAUGGUAAUGAAAACGCAGCUUCAAUGUAACAAUUUAGAUAAAUACGAUUGACAAUAUACUUUAAUUUCAUAAAUACGUUAUUCAAUAUAUAGGCACGGUGAUGAAAAAAGCAGCUUCAAUGUAACAAUUUAGAUAAAUACGAUUGACAAUAUACUUUAAUUUCAUAAAUACGUUAUUCAAUAUAUAUAUUUCAUUUUACGAAAAAUAACCUAAAAAACUAUAUCAAUUCGUUAAAUUUUACCAUGAUUUUAGGAAGAUUUUUAAAAUUAAUUGUGUGAUAGAAUUUAUCCCUAGAAAAGGGGGUGAUUUUCAUUAUUUUAAAUAUAAUUUGAAAAACAUAACUUGAUAUGCCCCCAUUUGGCCUUCAUUUUGUAGAAAUGAAAAUGGGUGGAAUAUUGUUUUUUUUUUUUUUGAAAAAUGAGUGGUUGAAAAAUAAGGAAAAACUUUCGAUUUACAUGUAAUAUUAUUUUAUAGAAGAUUGUGUGGUUAAAAAUAAAAGAGAGAAAAAUGAAAUGUAAUAGAAUGAAAAUUAUGUUUAUAUGGUUUUGACAACUCGAGUCCUGUGGGUCGUAGUGUCAAAAGUAUCCAAACGAAGGGAAGACCACACGACUUUAAAACAACAUCCUUGAUAUAAUUAUCUAAAGCUUGCUUUCUAACUCUCUUAAUGUUUAUGUUAUUUUAAUUAAUAAUGAUAAAAUUAACUUAUUUUUCUCGACAAUUUAAUGUGAGAGUGAUUUGUGCAUAAAAGUAGGGCAUGAAAUUUAUCGUAUGUAUUGAUGCCCAGUUGCUACAAUUGUAAUCUUGCAUUUUGAAUUGCAUUAUAGCAAUAACAUGACCAUUAACGUCAACUUGAUGACCUCAAUGAUAAUAAUUAAUAAUUCAAUAUAGCCACCCGUAUAUGUGAUGUGCACAUAUGAGUAAGGUAUGGAUUGAUGGUUGAUGUUUGUACAAUCUUCGUCGAUUUCUUUAUCUUCAAUAUGUUAGUGAGCUAGAGCCCGUGCAUUUGAAUAUGUUAGGAGAAGAAAGGACAUGGUGUAUAUGGGGGAGAAAAAGAAGUAAUUAAGAUUUUAGUUCACCUUGUACAAUAUUUGAAUUUUGUUUUAUACAAAUAUUACCAUUUUUUUUCCUCUUUGAAUAUUUUUGGCCAUUCCUGACGAGGAACUUCACUUCUCCUGCACCCAAUUUCUGUUACUAUGAACGUUAUAUGUUCAUUAAGGACAUUUGGUUGAAAUUCUGAGAUAAGAAUAUGAUAGGGUUCUAUAUGUGAGAAGGGCAAAACACAAUGAGAACAAAGGAAAUAGCUCUGUAAUAAUGGAAUAAAAGUACAACAAGAAGAAUGGUAAUCGGUAGCCUUUCGAAAGGGCUACUUCUCUCUUAAAUCUCACUAUUACUCCAUAACUUGCCUGUCUUCUACCCUCUCUUCUACCUUUAUUUAUAAGGAUUUCGGAUUUCCUAACUAAUUCCCCUCUCCACUUGCCCUUGUAACAGAAUCUGUCACUGCCCCUCCUCAAAUCUUCCGGGCUCUUCUAGAAUUGGAGGCUUAUCAGAAUAGUUGAUUUCCUAUGCUUUGAGUUCUGCCAUAAACACAUUUUUCCAGUUAAUUUCUCAUGCAUGCUUUAAAAUGUUCUCAAAUAGUGCAAUGAUUGGGAUUUUUACUGGAAAUGUUGAGGAUAACGAAAACAUAAAUUCUAUGAUAUUCAUAUAUGUUGCCAACUAUUUAUUUACAGUGUAGAUGAAGUACUUGAGAAAAAAUUUGAACUUUAAUAAUAGAAUUUACACUAAGAAAAAAAGUAAAAUUUUUUUUUCAGUGAAAUUGGAUUAAUAGUACAGCAAAUUCUGCUCCAAGUAUAUCAAAUCUUAAAUCAGUACUUGUUUAUCUUGUAUGAAUGGUGGAUAAAUUAUUUUUAGAAUUAGAAUGUGAAUGAUAUGUUCGAAACUGGAGCUAAUAAUCUAUUUUGGAUUUAGCAUGGCUGUUGACAUGGAGGUGUAAGCAUCAGAAUCAAUAAUUAGAUUAAUUUUGGGUUCCAAGAACACCAUUUUCAUCUUUGUAAUAGUGAGUUGAUGAUCACUGUUACAUUCUCCUGCAUUAUGCCAGUUAAAAUUAGGAGCUAAGAAAGUAUUGAUUUCUGUAUUUUCCCUUCCCUAUCUGGUAAAACUGUAUAAGCAUAUCUAAUAAUUGUUUUUCUCAUAGCUUUAAGAAAAGGCAGUGAUUUAAGUUGGGCUACAAAGCCAUAUUGCCAUGUAUAAUGCUACUCCAAGUAACAUGUAACAUAACUUUUGUAACUGGAAUUAUAUACAUUGAAUUAUGUAAUUAACCUACAUAUAAAAUGUCAUCUUUCUUCCUCCUCCUCCUUCAUUUAUUUUUAUUUUUAUUUCCUUAUGUAGUUUGUAGGUUAGGACCGAAUAUCUUUGGAAUGUGGGGGUGUUCAAAAUUUUGGAUAGAUACACUCAUAUGUUAUUAUUCUUAGUUUUAAAAUUGAGUUUUGAAAAGUGUUAAAAAAAAUUAAAUAGACUUGUAGGUGAAAUAUAAGAGUUGAACGGAUGCAUUUGCUCAAAUGUUACUAAAAGUCAAUAUUAAAAGUUCACGUGUUUAUUUUGUAUGCUUAAAUAAGUGAUAUUUUUGAAAGUGUAGAAGACUUAGCAGAAGUGUAGGUGACGAAUAAUAGCUUUGCAAAUAUAUGGUAUAACAAAUUGUUGUCCAAAAGGGACGUGAAUAUAUUGUAGUUCGUGAUAAAAAUAUAUAAAUUAUCGGGAGAGUCGACUUAAUUUGAUAAGGGAGUCACUUUCGAGGAUAACCCAACAUUCUCGUGAAAAAUUCAUUCGAUAACUUGUUAGUAUCAUUUCUUGUGAAAUCCUAUGUUAAGUUGAUUCUAACUUCAUCUUUGAUAAUGACAAUUGUAAACCUUGAGUUACAAUACUUGUAGUGUUCUGCCGUCGGAUUCCAAAAUGAAAUCAGGAAGGCCUAAAGAGAGAAAGGUAGAGGGGAUACAACCACACCCAGAGAACUGAUAAGUCCAGCCACAUCCCAACUGCAAUUCCAGUUGGUUUUUUAAUCAGUUUUUUUCCUUUUGAAGUUAUUGAAAAUCAGCCACAAUUUGUUACCAAUUUCUUAAUGAGCAAGUCUUUCCCAUGCAAAAGACAAAUUGAAGGCAGCCACCCAUUUUGACUCUUCAACAAUGAACUAUGUGGCAGAUUUUUUGGCCAGAAUUUUAUGACGGUUUGUAGUCAAAUUUUUUCUAUAAAUAUAUGCUACCAUUUGUAGAGAAAGAGAUUCCCCAAGAGAGAGGGAAAUAUCAUUUGAGAGGAAGAAAAUUAGAGUGUAUAGAAGAGAAAAAAAGAAGAGAUUAGAGAGACUCUUAUGAGAGGUUUUUUUUUAGAGAGUUUGUAAUAUUUUAUUGUAAAUUCUAUUCAAGAUAGAAAUAGAAUUAUUUGUCCUCUUUUAUUCUCUUCUCGUGAUCGGAGAAUCACAACAAGUGGUAUCAGAGCGAGAUUUAUCAAUUGACCCUUCUAGUUUUUUGAUACAACUUCAUUUUUUUUUAUAAAACGUUUACAAGCCAAGAUGCCAAUGGAGAAAUCUUCAUCAGAAGCUAUGAUCAAGCUCACUGCCACCAAUUACACACUGUGGCGACUUCGGAUGGAAGACCACCUUAGUUGUAAGAAUUUGUAUGACCCCUUGAAAGCUAAAGGUGUAAACCUCGAUCCUACCAAGGAGAUAGAGUGGAAGAAGCUAAAUAGAAAAAUUAUCGGUCAAAUUCGACAAUGAAUUGACCAUAGUAUUUUUCACCAUGUAGCACAGCAGGUAGAUGUAUAUGCCCUCUGGAAGAUUUUGGAGGACAUGUACCAGGCCAAGGCCGCUUGAAACAAAGCCCUGUUGAUGAGGCAUUUGGUGAAUGUGAAGUUAAAGAGUGGAACUUCAGUUUCUGAGCACACCAGUAAAUUUCAGAGCUUGGUAAACCAAUUGUCAUCUGUGGAGAUGCUGCUUGGGAAUGAAAUACAAGCCUUACUACUUUUAAGUUCUCUUCCUGAUAGUUGGGAGACAUUAGUAGUAUUUCUUAGUAAUUCAGCCCCUGAUGGCAAACUUACCAUGUCUAUGGUCAAGGAUGCCCUAUUUAAUGAAGAUGCCAAGAGAAAAGACGUAGACACGGACCAAUCAAAUGCCCUUGUCACAGAGAACCGGGAAAGACAACAAUGAGACGUUCGAGGCAGGGGGAGAGGUAGAAGCAAAAGUAGGGGCAGAUCCAUAGAUGGAAGGAAGCCUACUUACAAGUGCUACUAUUAUGGUAUGGAAGGCUACUUGAAAAAUAAUUGCAAAAAAUUGCUACGAGAGCAAGGCCAGAACAAUUCGCCGUCGAAAAAUAAGGAAGGCUGAGACACUAGUCACUAUUUCUGGGGAGGUGGCUAUCUGCUCCAUCCAUGAGAAGACAUGUCUUCAUGUCUCAAAUCAAGAUAUUAAGUGGGUAAUAGACACUGCAUCAUCUUACCACGCCACUCCACGUAGAGAUUUCUUCACAACAUACAAAGUUGGCUACUUUGGUGUAGUAAAGAUGGGAAAUACCAGUUCUUCUAAGAUCGUGGGAAUUGGUGAUGUCCAGAUACAAACGAACCUUGGGUGUAAAAUAACCUUGAAGGAUGUUCGACAUGUACCUGAUCUUCGGUUAAAUCUACUUUUGGGGAUAGUCCCUGACAAACAGGGCUAUGUCAAUCACUUUAGUAAUGACACAUGGAAAAUGAUGAAAGGCUCCAUGGUUGUCGCUCGAGGACAUAUAUGUGGCACUUUAUACAAGACUCAUGUGAAAAGGCAUAUGAAUAGCCUCAAUGUAGUAGAACGUGCGGCUUCUCAAAAUUUAUGGCACCAGAGAUUUGGCCACAUGAGUGAGAAGGGGUUGUCUACUUUGACAAAGAAGGAGCUAAUCACGGUUGUCAAGGAAGCUGUGCUAGACCCUUGCAAUCACUGUCUAUUUGAGAAGCAACAUAGUCUCCUUCAAUUUCUCUUCGACAAGAUGAUCAUAGUUGCUUAGUCUGGUACACUCUGAUGUUUGUGGUCCCUUGGAGGUUGAAUUACUAGGCGAUAACGAAUAUUUUCUACCAUUCAUUGAUGAUGCUCUCGAAAGAUGUGGGUAUAUUUCUUGAAGACAAAGGACCAAGUGGUAUAUUUCUUGAAGACAAAGGACCAAGUUUUGGAUUACUUCAAAUUGUUUCAUGCUAUGGUAGAGCGUGAAAUAGGAAAGAAGCUGAAGUGUCUCUGCACAGGUAAUGGAGGCGAGUACUUUUCCAAAGAGUUUGAUGCCUAUUGUAAGAGAUACGGUAUUCGACAUGAGAAGACGGUCUCACGCACCCGACAACAUAAUGGAGUUGUCGAGAGGACGUAUCGGACGAUCAUGGAAAAGGUUUGAAGCAUGAUAUGUAUGGCUAAGCUGCCAAAGCCAUUUUGGGAGAAGCUGUUCGAACCGCCUACUACCUGAUCAAUAGAUCACCAUCAGUACCAUUCAAUUUUGAAAUUCUAGAGAAAGUAUGGUCCGAUAAAUAUCCCUCAUACUCUUACCUGAGAGUAUUUGGCUGUUUAGCCUUUGCACAUGUAUCUACUCUAUGUAUCUUUAUAGUUUAUGGAGAUGAGGAAUUUGGAUAUAGAUUAUGGGAUCCAAAGAUAAAGAAGGUCAUCAGAAGCAGGGACGUAGUGUUUCAUGAAAACCAGACACUGAAAAGCUCACAAUAUCUCCUAAUUCCAAUUUUGGUGCCCAGAAUAUUAUUCCAGAUCCAGCACCAAUACAAUUCACCAUAGAUAAUGACGAUGUGCAUGAAGGAAUGCUGGAAGCAGAACAGGAGGAUGAAGAAGAGGAUAUUGACUAUGGGGAGUCACAAUCCUCUUUACCAGAAAUUGUCGGACCAUCACAUCAACCAGAUGAUGAUGCACCUCUUGAAAUCAACGAUCCAUAGGUAAGAAGAUCUGAACAAGAACGGAUUCCAUCAACGAAAUAUCCAGAAUCAGAGUAUCUUUUGCUCAUUGACGAAAGAGAGUCGGAGAGCUUUCAGGAAGCACAAACUCAUGUGGACAAAGACAAGUGGAUACAAGCAACGUAGAAUGAGAUGGAGUCACUACAGAAGAAUCAAGCAUAUGAGUUAGUUGAGCUUUCGAAGGGAAAGAAGACAUUAAUGAAUAAAUGGGUUUUCAAGCUCAAGAAAGAUGGCAGCGGAAAGGUGGUAAAACAUAAAGCCCGUUUGGUAGUCAAAAGAUUUCUUCAGAAGAAGGGAAUUGAGUUUGACGAGAUUUUUUCACCUGUUGUAAAAAUGGCCUCAAUUUGAGUUAUCUUUAGAUUAGUAGCCAGUCUGAAUCUAGAGCUUGAAUAGAUGGAUGCCAAAACAGCACUUCUUCAUGGUGAUUUAUAUGAAGAAAUUUAUAUGGAACAACCAGAAGGUUUUGAAGUUUUAGGAAAAGAAAACUUCGUUUGCAACCUGAAGAAGAGCUUGUAUGGUCUUAAGCAAGCACCCAGGCAGUGGUACAAAAAGUUUAACUCUUUCAUGGUGAGUCAAGGCUAUAAAAGAACAGUUGCAGAUCAGUGCGUUUCUAUUCAACACUUUUCGGAUGACAAUUUAGUUGCUCUUCUACUGUAUAUAGACGACAUACUGAUCGUUGGACAAGAUGCAAUAAAAAUCAGGCAACUGAAGAAGGAACUCUCCAAGUCCUUUGACAUGAAGGACUUAGGCCCAGCUCAACAGAUUUUAGGAAUGCACAUAACUUGAGAUAUGAAGAAUAAAAGGUUGUGGCUAUCUCAGGAAAAGUAUGUUAAUGAGUGAUCAAGAGAUUCAACAUGCAUAAAGCCAAACCUCUCAGCAUUCCAUUGACCAAUCACUUCAAGUCGAGCAAAAAUUCAUGCCCCUCAUCCAAGAAAGAGGUAGAGGAGAUGUCAUCGGUACCUUAUUCUUCAGCAGUUGGAAGCCUGAUAUACGUCAUAGUAUGCACAAGACCAGACAUUGCUCAUGCAGUGGGCAUGGUGAGUCAUUUUCUCUCUAAUCCUGGAAGAGAGCACUGGAAGGCAGUCAAGUGGAUUCUUAGGUACCUCAAAGGUACAUCAAAGAUAUGUCUGUGCUACGGGGGAGCUAAUCCAAUCUUAGAAGGUUAUAUAGAUUCAGAUAUGGCGGGAGAUCUUAACAGUAGAAAAUCUACUUCAGGAUUUCUCUACACUUUUGCAGGGGGAGCUGUUUCAUGGCAGUUAAGACUACAAAAGUGUGUUGUUUUAUCUACAACAGAAGCAGAAUAUAUUGCAGCAACAGAAGCUGGUAAAGAAAUGUUGUGGUUAAAUCAAUUUCUCCAAGAACUAGGGAUCAAGCAAAAUGAUUAUAAAAUACAUUGUGACAGUCAAAGUGCUCUAGAUUUAAGUAAGAAUUCAAUGUACCAUUCUCGGACAAAGCACAUCGACAUCCGCUAUCAUUGGAUAAGAGAAGUGAUGGAUCAACAACUGUUGAAAUUAGUGAAUAUUUACACAAAUGAGAAUCUAGCAGAUAUGUUAACAAAGGUGGUUUCAAGAGAAAAGUUAGAGCUAUGCAGAGACAUAGUUGGGAUGAUUGUUAAAUAACAAUUGAUUUAAAUGCGACUGAAGGGGGAGAAUUGAUAAGUCCACCCACAUUCUGGCUGGUUUUUUUAAUUAGUUUCUUCCUUUUGAAGUCAUUGAAAAUCAGCAACAAUUUGUUACCAUCAACGGCAAAUCAAUUGUUGUUGAAGUGCGUUAAAAAUCAUUACUGCAGGAUACAUGAUAAAACAAAUUGAGUUAUGAUAUUAGCCCCCUCUCACGUGCAAACUUUUGCCAUUUACUAAUCAAAUUAUUUCAAAUGUGUAUAUAUAUAGCUCCAUUGCUCAUGCCCCCACCCGAGAGUCACGAGCUUACGAUCGUGUUUGAGGAGCUCAUUACAAGUUCUGCAUCCAAUAUUUUUGUUCCAACGGUGUGAUGGAGAAUGGAUGCGAGCAAGAGGCUUUCAUUUUUUUUUAAGGAAAAAAAUAGGAAAUACCAUAUACAACUCGAUAAGCUUUUUAGUUUCCACACACAAACACAUAUGCACCUAAAUAGGUCAUUUUGCACGUUGAACUCGUCAUUAAGAUUGAAAUACAUAAUGACCCAAGCAAUGCUUUUAUUUUAAUUACCUAUUUGUCAUGAUUGCUCUUAUCGAGAUAUGAAAAUUGAAAGGGCUGGAAUCCUCCCAUUUUUCAUCUCUCUUAACUAAUCUUUUGAAUCUUAUAAUCCUGUGUCAAGAAAAGGAUAGCUUGGAUAGUAAUUUUUUUUUUUUUUUUUUUUUUAAUGUUGAGGAGUGGAAACAAGCAUAAUAAAUACAUGUUCCAACUACUUAUAUUCACUAAAUACUCUUUAAUAUAAAACAAUUCUAGAUAGUGGAUUAUUCUAAAUAUCGACUCAUAACUCACUCAAUGACAAUAUGUAAACAAGUCCAAAAUAUAAGACAAACAAUUAAUUGGCCCACAAAAUGCACUUCUUGGACCGAUUGUAGCAACACAAAAUAUCUUCAAAUUACAAUAUUAAUUGGCUAAAAUCAAGUUCAUUUCACAACAUGCACCUUCGAACGAACAUAAGAUAUGAUCAAAUUACAAUAUGCAUAGAAAACUUGAAUCUUGAAAUAUGAGAUAAACAGUUUGAAAUAGUAAUAAUGGUUACAGUUGUAUUAUUAUUAUUAUUAUUAUUAUGAAGAUAUAAUGAUUAACCUUGUGCCCUUGAUCACAUAAGAAAUUGCAACUUUGAGCAUCAUGACAAUAUCAAACGCAUGAUAUCCCCAGAAAACUUGAAUGAUUUCUCAGUUUCAUCCAGGCAAUGAUUCUUCUCUUCCUCUGUCCAUGUCUGCAAAAUUCCCACAUCAAAGUUAAAUCCCAUAUCAUAAAAUUAUACUACCAAAAUGGUUUAUAGUUAAAAAGAUUAAUCAAUAAAUUCAGAAAAGUAAGGGCAAUAAACAAAUUACUUCAGCAACCCGGUUUAGCUUUUCCCGAACGUUUUGCAAGAGUUGGGACAGGUCUCCAUCCCAUUUAUAGAACUCCAACUCUUGGUUGUUAAGAAUCGUUUUUGCUACCUGAUGGAAAAUAUGCCAUAAUUUGAGUAUAAGAAGUUAGAUCAUUUUUACUAAAUAACUAAUUAAAACUGCAAAUAUUUACAUAAUUUUGAAUAUAGUUCACACAAAUAAGCUUAAUGAAUACGAAUAAAUUGAAGUUCAUUUUCUAAAACAGAUAUUCUUUACCUUCGUCCCCAUCAGUCUGCCACCAGCUGCAUGGCCAAAGUAUCUAGUGUAGAAGUGGCAAAUUAAUGCUUGAGGAUCCUUUCUGGAUAGCUCUUCCAUAUACUGGGCAUAGCUAACGCCUAGAGAAGAUGGUUGUGGGAUGGCAUGACCUUGCAAUUUAAACCAUUCCAAAUCUUUUGUAAGACCUUUUGUCCUCUCCAGUCCCGUGUUCUUUAACUCUGCAUCUGUACGAGAAACAACAAAACGAGUAAGAACUUCACACUACAGUAACACUCAAAUUAUCAGGUCAUAUUGACAGGAUUACAUGUGAGAUUAAUUUAAUUUUCAUGGUCUCAAACAUUGGGAAAUAUUAAAGUGGUUGCUUAGGUAUUUGAAGAGUACUUUUGAUGUAGGGUUAGCUUAUAAAUUUGGUAAUGAGAGUGUGAAAUUUAGCUCUCGUUUGGUGGUCUUUAAUUUGAAAAAAAUCAUGUUUUGAAUAUAAUUUUUUGAAGAAUGUGUGGUUAAAAUGUAGAGAAAUUUUUUGGAUUUACGUGUAGAGCAUUUUGUUGUGUGAAUGUUGUUGAAAAUGAGUAUGAGAAAUAAAUUUAAGAAACGUAAGCUAAAUUAAUACCACCAAAUAGGGGCUUAAAGAUUUCAUAGAUGCUGACUAUAGUAGAGAUAGAGAUAAUAGGAAAUCUAUUUCCUUGUGUGUUUACUCUGUGACUCUUACAUGAGUUGGAAAUUUUAACCCCAACAUUUUGUUGCUCUAUCCAUUAUUGAAGCCGAGUAUAUUGCUACCACAGAAGUUAUUAAAGAAGCUCCAUGGAUUAGAUAUUUACUUAAUGAACUAGGUGUUUUAAGUGAUAAUGUGAUUGUAUAUUUGAUAAUCAAUCUACUGUUUAGUUGUGGAAAAAAUCCAUUUUUUGUAAAUGCACUAAACAUAUUGAUGUUAGUCUGCAAUUUUUUAGAGAUGUGGCAUCUCAAGAGUUGAUGAAACUUGAGAAAGUGCAUUCAAAUUAUGACCCUGUAGCUAUGGGCACUAAGGUACUCCCCUGGUAAAGACUAGAAGCUAUCUAACAUUUCUAAACAUUGGUAAAUAUAAGUGAUGUUUAAUUUUUGUUUGAAAUCACAUUGUUAGAGUACUAAACUUGUUUUGUUUCUUUUUACAUGAGGUGUAUUUGGCAUAAUAUGGAGGUUUGUCAGAGAUUUGAUACCAAAUAAACCUGGGAUAAUGAUGAUAAAUUGUGUCAAAUUAAUUCAUAGGCCUUGAUCCCAUUAUUUAAUAUUACAUAUCGAUUGACCCAAUGUUAUAGUUGGUGGUCCAUGGAUCCAAGAUAGACUAAGAAUCUCACGUUUGGUAAUGAGGGAUGAUUAGGUCUUGACCUGUUUAUAUUUACUUGGCCCAUAUUUUGACCCACCCUAAAUUACUAGGGUUUUAAACAUUACAAUUCAAAACUCAAUGCUAAAGUUUCAUUAUUCAGAAAUUAGGUAUUGAUUUAAUAAUUUAAAUAUUAAAUAUUUCAUCCAAAUUCAAUUUCAACCCUAAUUCCUUUCUCUCUCUACCAUCUAUCUUCUUUCUCUUUUCUCUACCAUAAAACACCACCGUCACCACCGACAGCGGCGAAACUCUGAAAGCAACCUCACUGAUGACUAUUAUUUUUGUUCUCUUUCUUCUCCUCUGAAGCAAUCUCACUCAAUAGCUCCAUCGUUCUUCGAUCUCCCUGUCGAUGGCGUUUACUCACUCUGACGAUGACUUAUUUUUGUAGCCCGUCAAUGUAGCGUCACGAUGCUGCUACGAACAUAACUUCGCGAUGCUGCAGUGCUUGGGGUUGAUUGGUGCCCACGUUCGAUGGGGUUUGGGGGGUUUUUUUUUCUUUCUUUUCCCGAUUUGAGGAGGUUGUGGUAAAUUGUAGACAUGGGUGGUAGUAUCGUGUAGUGGUGAUGGCGACGGCGAUUUGGGGAUUAUUUGGUAGAAUUGGUUGUUGUGGUCAUAAGAAAAGGUUGAUUGGAGGUGUAGGUGGCACAUUGAUUGAUGGAGCUGGUGGUUGUGGUCACAAGAAGAUGUGUUAUGUGGCGGUGGAGAUGGUGGUAAGGUUGUGGGUUGUUUAUUGUUGGUGUGUUUGGUGGUAGCAAUCGUGGUGGUUUCUAACAGCGAUGGAGGUGGUGGUUGGAGAGUUGAUUGUUGUGGUUUUUGUUAGCAAUUAAUUGGAUUUGGUGGUGAUGUCAUGCUAUUGGUGGCGGUGGCGAUGGUAACGAAGUGAGAGUUGUGGCAAGUGGCGGUGGUGGCACUGGAGGUGGUGGUGGUAUGUGACCAACUAUUUGGUUACUUGUGACCAACUAUCUAAUUGUGACCUUAAAAUUUGAUAAUUGUGACCAACAAAUUUGAAAAUAUGUAACUGAUAGAUAAGUUGUGACUUAUAAUUUUUUCAUGUGUGACCAAUGAAAUAAACUGUGAUCUACAAAAAAUUUUAUUUUUGACAUCGAAAUAAUUUGUGAUCAAUUAAUUUAAUAAUACUUAACUAAGAAAUAAGUUUGCGACCUAUAAUUAUGUACCUGUGACCAUUAAUGGUAUAAAUGUGAUUAAUAUUUUUAAUUAAUAAAAUAUAUUUAAUUAUUAAAUAAAAACCUAAUUUUUACAUUUAAAACUUUAGACAUGAAAAUUGAAUUGUCCGUACUUAAUACCUUAGUUGUGAAUUUUUCCCUUCCAUUUAAGUGUUGACUUUGUCUACCAUGAGCGACAUUACAUAUAUUACACACGUCUGCAUUUUUUUUCCCCUUCCCCUUGGUUGCUCGACUGUUCCUCUGUGGCUCUUUGUGCUUUCUGCUUCCACUUCCUCUACACCUCUACUCGGCAUCUGUCGCCGACCUGAGCGACCUUGGCAGUCCUCGUUUGUGCCUUGGUUUCUCCACUGUUUCGGUCGCUUUCUGUGGCUGCUGGCUGACCGGUUUCUUGGUUGGUUUUAUUGCUGAUUUUUUCAUGAUUCUAACGAGAUUCUUGUGUCCAAUCGCGUGUGAUGUUACCUUAUUGACUUGGAUUGGUUAAAUCUUAGCCCCGUUACUCCAUUGUUGAUCCCGAACGUGGCUUUUCAAUUGGAAAGUGUUCUUGCAAUUUUCAAUAGUUUAAUUCGGUUUCUUUGAUUUGUUUUAAGGUUUAACUUUGUGUUCGAUUAUCUCUAACUGUUAGGAAUCAUUUUACAACAACCAGGUACACCACAUCAUGAUACUCUAUGUAAAUGAAAAAUAUUCAUCAUUAUCAUCAUCAAUCUUUUUAUUGGAAUAGGCCUUGGAAACUGAAACAAUACAUUGUAAACUUGGUACCAUCUAAAUCUGUUCCAAAAACUCCUAAAGAAUUACUGUCAUGCACCAUAGUUUGAAAUAUGCCUUUUCUAUUUUCCAACAAGUGUUGAAAAAGGAAGCUGGAAUCUCUAACUAAAAUUUGCAUGUUUGAAGGAUAUUCUAAAGAAACGAGACGCUAUAUAGUAAAUUAGAUAUAUAAAAAUAUUGAUCGUGAUCACACAUGUUGACAUAGUGGGAGGGUUACAAGAAUUCUAGCUAUCAACGUAUAGUUGGGACAAACCACAAUCUUUAAAAGAUGUCAUUGUCAUGGAACAAGAAAUGAUACCUAUAUAUUUUAUCGAAAGACAUGUUUGGAAGUUAUUUAUAAUUAGUUUAAAUUAUACUAAAUAGAAAUAAGUGGUGAAUAAGUAAAUAAUACUUGUGGAUCCCAUUACAUGUAUCGAUAAAAAGUAAUUUGACUGACUAUAAAUAAAUUAUAAACAUGUGCCAAAUAUACGCAAAGUCAAAGAUCUUAUAACUUGUAAGGGUCAAAACAAGUAGAUAACAAUGGAUCUAGAAGGAAGAGAGAGAGAGAGAGAGAGAGGUGUUAAUGGUAAGAUUCGAACCUGUUAGAACUAACAAUUAUGUUAGAUGUAUAUUGAUCGUGUCAAUUUACCCUUACACUCUCCAUUUUGUGACAUCAUCUAAGCAGGAAUGAGAAAGGUUGUCGGGAAAAUCAAAGGGGAUAAUGGUGUCAUGUGACAAAGUGUAAAGGAAAGCGUACACAAUAAUAUACAUGUGGCAUAAUUUUAGAACUAAACUAAGGCUGAACAAAAAGACUCAAAAAGAGAGUAUCGACUAUGAAGAUUUUUGCCACCUUCUCUUUGCCAGUUUCCAUGCUUACAUUAAUAAGAAAAUUACAUUUUAUUGCAAGCGCUCUAUUAUGAAAUCUCACAUAUAGAGGUUAAGUUAUUGUUUUGUAGGGAUUCAAAUUUAGAUUGUAAUCAAAGUCAAAGUUAACAAUUAAUUUUAAUUACAUAUUUUAUGGGAUUUACAUCUUUUCAACCAUGCAUUUCAUUAACAUUUAUCAAAUUUUACUAAAAAAAUGAUUUUAAUCUCCUCCAAAUAGGGGUGAAGACUAUUUCUUAAUGAUACUAUAGAAAAUAAUUAAAUAAUGGUAUGCAAUCUAUAUAUAUAUGUGGGAAAAUGUGCUAUGCGUGCAUUUACAGUCGUUCAUUGAAGUGGAUCUGACAUUAAUGACUCAUUUAUUAUGGAUAUUUAUUAUAUUGUAAGUCUGAAUAGCACAUGCUCAUUAGAUCCCAUUUUAGUGAUUGUAAAUUUAAAUGACUAGAAAAAUUAAUGAGGAAAAAUUCAUGUUAUGUUCCGUAACCUUUCAAUUAGUAUACAUGGUAUUGGGCACCCAUACCUUCAAAAGUGAGGUAUGAUUCUCCAAGUUAGUAAAUACGUGAAUUUGAAUCCUAUAAAUACCGCAUUAAUUAUUGACGGUCUUCAUCAUGUGGGAUCCAAAUUCACAGAUUAGGUAGUUUUGGGAAUUAGAAUCUCACUUUUGGAGGUUGAUGAUCGAAAGCCGCGUUAUUUAAAAGGUUAAAUAGUCUAAUUCUAACUUUUCCUAUUAAAUAUUGGUAGACAAACUUGGAUUGUGCUUUUUUCUAAUUAAAGUUGAUGGAUAUAUUAAGGUUCUGUUUGGGAGCGAUUUUUUCUCCCAAAAAAUUAAUUUUUUGACCGUUAUUUUACUAUUCCAGCCGUCAUAUUUGAUUUCUUCUCUCACAGGUGGACCGCACUUUUCUCCUAACGGUCAAAAAAUCAAUUCUUAAAAUCACUCCCAAACAAGCUCUAAAAGAAUUUUAUUAUCAAAUAGGAGUUCAGCAAAAGAUAUCUAGACUAUAUUACCCACUAAUUUAACUCACAAUGCUAAGAAUUUCCAGAUAGGGUUUUAUUUAUUUUAUUUUAUUUUAUUAUUAUUAUUUUAAAAACAAGUGAUGGGAUACAAUAAAAACAUCUCCACUUAGAUUUAACAAUUAAAAAAACAAUGAAAAUAUAGAAUAGUAUAGAAGGAUUCAUGUUGUUGAUGUCAAGUCUACUGUAAAAAAGAUUUAGUUUGUUGAUGUUGUAAUAGAAAAUAAGCAAUUAAUAGUCUUAUACUGAAAAGAAAUGCUGUAAAAAAUAAAUAAAACAAACUCACAUUCAGAAAAAGUGGCCUUGUCCAUGAUUUUCUCCAUGGUGUCAUAAACCAACCUACUAUCCACCAAGAACUUCAAGUAACCCUCAAGAGUAGGCUCCCAUUCGCCCAUAGGCAGACCCACAGUUUCCUUCGAUUCUCCUUCUUUAGCCUGCUCCCUUGUGUGCAAUUUCAUUGCAGCAAGUCUCAUCUCAUCCACAAACCCCUUAGCCUCUCUAGGAUACCUCUUUUUCGACUUCUGAGCAUCUCCUGUAGCUGAAACCACCACCAUUUUAGGUUUCGUCUCAGUAAACCUUGAGAUGGGCAUCGGCAAAAACUGGGCAUUAGGCUUAUUCAAGAUUGUGAAUUGAGGUUUCAUGAAUAGAGGUAAUCGGUAAUGUGAAAUGAUUGUUACGGAAGCCAUCACAAGAAUGAGUUCAAACUUCAAAUGUGUAUUAAGAUAUAGCAAGUGAUAUAGACUUAAGCUUAAUGUUGAGUCCAAAAAAGAUAAGAGCAAUGAAUGUUUAUAUAGUUUUUGUAGAUUUUAGGAAUAUUUUCCUUUUUUUACUGGUGGAUUGGAGUAUACAAGUCGAUUUGCAUACCUUUCUCAAGUAUUUUGAAAGGAAAAUUGCAUUUUUUGUCCUAAACCUUUACAAAAUGUUACGAAUUUAUUUGCAACUUAUUUUUAGCACAAUCCAUUCACAACCUUUCAGUUACGUAGCAAACCUUUCCUUCCCUCCGUUUUGACCAUUAAAUAAACAAAAAAUAAAGAAAAUGAAGAAUUUGUCAUUUUCUUUAAAUAAACAAAAAAUAAAGAAAGCACUAAAACAAACAAAAAAAAAAAAAAUUGUAAAAUGGAGUUACAUAACUUUUCGAAAAGUACAAAUAAAUCAAAUUUAAAUAGAAGGGAAAAUUAAUCAUUUAAUGACCAAAAUAGGGUGUAGAACGAGUUUUGCUAACUAAAUGAAAGGUUGAAGGUAAAUUAUGUUAAAAACAGAUUGAGGACGAAAGUACAAAUUUCCAUAUGUUGAAUAGUUAUUCCAUGUGAAAAUCUUAAAUCAAUCGUGGGAUAGAAAUCUUCUCUUUCUAUUUAUUAGUGUUAUUUCUCCGCCAAUAUUAUAAGCAUUUGAAAGAGACUCUUAAUUUAUAAAGUUCACUUUUGUGCAUUAUUGAGAACAUCUUUAAAUUUUGAGAGCCAAAAUUUUUAUUUACUCAAACAAUAUUCUCUAUUUUGGUUAUUCAUUUUUUUUUUAGAAAAAUAUUUAUUGAUUUCUCUUCUUAUUUUAUUUAACAUAAUUUUUUUCUCGGUUAAUGGUCAAUUAAAUUCAAUGUGGUUUGAAUUGUUUAAGGAAUAGAGUAUUAAAAUAUGUGACUUAAAUAUAAUCAUUUUACAUUAAAAAUAAGGAGUGAUCACUUGAACCAUUGAUCAACAUCAAAUCAUAUCAACACUAAAUAAUCAGCAUAAGGUCGAGCACUCAUUCGAUCAUCGAACCACAAGGAGAUUUAAAUGUGUUCUCCCCAAGGGCAUGGGGUCACAUGGCCCCCCAUCUUUGAUGCCAAUAUUUUUUUUUUCCCUCUAUAUUUUUGUUUCAAUUUUUAAAGUCAUUAUAAAAUGUCAGACGAAAUUGGAAUAUUGUAUUUUUAUUAUAAUUUUGAAGAUUUCUACGUUGUUAAUGGCACAAGAAUGGUUAAAUGUAUCAAAUUUUACGGCCUAUCAAAGUAGGCCAUUUCAAACUAGUAUUUCGAAAAUUUCGAUAAUAUACUAAAUUUAAAAAAAUUCUCUGACGAUCGUACGCUAGUCAAAUCCACAAAUCGUCUAUGUUAUCUUGAAGCUUAUCUCGAGAACUACGUCAUAGGCAUAUCAAAUGGUCCAAACAGAUAGCAAAAAUAGUUAAAAAUGUGUCAAACUUGCGUCUUAAAAAGAGGCGUAUAACUCGUAUUUUCUUUAAAAAUUUUCAAUUAUUAUUAUUUUUGCAAGACAAAUUUUCAAUAGAAUUUACAUUAUGUCAUUAGGAAAUUUGACAUGGGAUAUGAUAUAAAUUUUUUUCGAAAAUUUACAACUGAAAAGUCAUACCCAUGUAAAUUUUUUGACAUAAAAUUGCAUGGGAUAUAUAUAUAUAUAUAUAUAUAUAUAUAUAUAUAUUUGAUGUAAAAUUUUGAAUGAAAAACUCACAACUUUUUUGCAAGUUUGAUUGUAUCUACCUAAUUCAAAAUGUCAGCGUCCGCUAUAACAUAUAUAUACAUGGAAAUGAACUCUUAAACACCGAUACUUAGCUUAUAUUGAGUACUGAUGAUAUCACCAAUUAAAUAGUGUGUCAUGUCACCGGUACUUAAAAGAUCAUUCUUAUAUAUAUAUAUAUAUAUAUUAUCUUAAAUUUAAAAAUCAAGAAAAUACGUUUAUGAUAUCUUGUAGGCCUGGGCAAAAAAACCGUCAAACCACCUAAACCGCCAAACCGAACCGAUUCGGUUUGGUUUGGUUCGGUUUAGAGUAGUCAAAUGGUUUGGUUUGGUUUUUUGUAGACAAAAAUCAUGUUGGUUUGAUUUGGUUCAUGGUUUGAAUACCAAAACCGAUGGUUAACCGCUCAACCCGCUACAAAUUUAAACCAUUUUUUUUUCUUUUUGAAAGAAGAAGAAGAAGAAGAAGAAGACGGGUAACUCACAAACAGAGUAUGACUGUAGGAAUCAAAAUAAACAUGAUAACCAAUCCAAUCCAAAUCCAAUAAAAUUCCACAUUAAUUAUCAAUUUCAAUAGUAGUAAAACUAAGGUUUUAUUAGCAACUGUAGACUAUAUUUACGAUUCAAUCAUUCAUAUCUCCAGAAUCAUGCAGCAUGAUGAUUAAGAAUCAUGCAACAAAAUGGAUAUAAGACUUAUAAUUAUUUCAUGGAAACUAACUCAUAAUCAGACUCUCAAGCAAUACAUUUUAUCUUGCUUUCGUUUUCCUUUUCAGGAAGAAAAGUCAAAAGAUAAGGCACCGGAAGUUGAUGCUUGAUGACGACGAACUUUCGCUAUUCUUCUACUUUCCAGAACCUCGUCACUAGCUUUUUUGAAACUUUUUGCUCCUGAUUCAAAGGUUUCAUCAUCAUCAAGAUCAGGAUUAUCUCAAGAUAGUUGCACUCCGACAGCCCUCUUUUUUGAAGGUUGAAAAUUGUUUUCCUCAUCCCCCAUUGUAGAUUAACAAAACAAACUUGAAGGAAAAUUUGCUUCCUCCACAAGUUGGAAGAAAGUGAUCUCUUCAGUUAAAAACAUAUACAAAAAUCACAAACUAAAAGGACAUUAUAAAUGGAAUCAAAUGUUGCUUCUUGACCAAACAAAUGUUAGGAAAGAUAUUCUAGGCUAUGAAACAAAUACUUUUGAAGGAGACAAACUAUAAUGUGAAACUACAUGAUCCAGAUAAUCAAUUAGCACUCGCCCACAGACAUAAACAAGUGAAACUAGUCAUUAAGUUUGGCAAUUGUUAAUUCAUUACAGAAAGUAUCCAAAGAUCAUGCGUCAAGCAAAAGAAACACUCACAUUUGUAAAUCAAACUCAAAAAUGGGGGAACAAGGAAAAAAAGAAAGGAAAAAGAAAGAAAAAAAGGAGGAAAAAAAAAAAGAAAAAGAAAAGGGAGAGAACAAUGUGUGAGAGUAACAUCAAUGUUUGCUUGUUCUUUAUAAGUUACAAUGCAAUGUUAUUUAAAAGUUCAAACCGAGAAACCAAACCAAACCAAACCGAACCAAAGUGGUUUGGGUUGGUUCGGUUUAAGAAUUAGAGUGGAUUGGUUUUGGUUUUAAUUUCACUCAAACCGAUUACUUUGGUUUGGUUUUGGGUUUAGGUCAAAACCAACCCAAACCAAACCACGCCCAGGCCUAAUAUCUUUGGGUAUAUCUUUAAUGAGCCGCGCAUACUGCACAUGUGCUCGGCCCACUUGUAUAAAUUAAUCAUGAGAUCAUAUCUUGUAAUAGCAUGACGAUUAGUUGUAUAGUUAAUAAAGUAAUGAAUCACAUGAUACCACUUAUAUGUAACAAAACUCUUUUCAAACUUGAAUAAAUAACUUAAAAUAAAUUCUAAUUACAUAUUUCACACUUAAUUUAAAUAUAUGCAAUCAACGUUCCUCGACACAUUGUGAGUUUAGAAAUGUUUGUUGAUCACUUAAACCAUCAAAUCAUCACAGUAUUUAAGAUAAUGAAAAUAAAUAAAUAAAUAAAUAACGUAAGUAAAUGAUAUAUAUAUAUAUAUAUAUAUAUAUAUAUAUAUAUAUAUAUAUACAUGUGUAAAUAACUUAAUUUAAACCUACAUUCAACUUACAGCUGUCGGAAAAUAAUAUAUUAAAUUUAAAUAUUAAAGCAAUAUAUUAAAGUUAAUAUAUUAAAAUAAUAUAUCCAAGUUGAAUAAAAUUGUAAGAGCAAUUCGUAUGUUUCAAUUCGAGUCGAUUAUUUAGCUAAUUUGUAUUUGAAUUGGUUUAAUUCCAUAAUCUCAUGGCUAUUGUAACAUUAUUUGUAUUAAAUAAAAAAUUAGCUAAUAAUUUGAUGUUGACCUAUGGAUGACUUCAUAUUUUGAUUUGAACAAACAAAUUGUUUUUAUCUCUAACAAUUGAAUUCAAAUCGUUAUAACUAUUUUUGCAAAAUUGAUCAAUUGAAGACAAAGAGAUCGUUAUUAAAAGACUUGCAAUUGAUGCUCAAUGAAAAUCGAGAUGGAAGCCGAGCAUUUACGAUAAAUCAAUCAAAGACAAGUGGUUUAACGACAUUAGACUUAGAUGUUUUUGGAUUCAAUGACUCAUUAAAAGCUCGAGAUGAAUUUUUAUGCACGAGAAAAAUUAUUUCUUAAAAAUGCUUGCAUAAUUUUUCCCCCCAAAGGUAAGAAUCUCAAUUUUAUAUUUAAACUUAUUACAAAUGUCACUUACCUUGAAUAAUUAAGUGAAAUUGUCCUUCAAAAGUCUACAUCUUUCAAAACAAUCAAAGAAGGAAAAAUUCGGAAAAACUAACCAAGUGGACAUCCAGUUGAUCUAUUGAACCUUCAAAAGUCUACAUCUUUCAAAACAAUCAAAGAAUAAAAAAUCUGAAAAAACUAACCAAGCAGACAUCCGGUUGAUCUAGUGAAAAUCCGAUUUGUCCAAUAGUCAAAUUUUUAACUGUUCUGAAUUCUGACACAAAACAGCUAGUUCAGUGUCCGGUUUAGAAGCGGACGUCAGGUUGAGUUGUCCUAUUGGUCAGAACAUUUGGUGUUUUAACCGCUAUAAAUAUUUCCCCACUUUGUAUUCAAUUCAACACUUUUAAGAACAUUAAAGUGAGAUAUUUUCUUUUAGAAUUCUUUGAACGUUCCUUUACAUUCAAUUUCAUUUAUUUUUUCAUAUAAAAAACUCUAAUUGAUUUAAACUCUUUAAUUAUCAUCUUCAUCAAAAAUUUUCAUAUUUCUUUUUGUACUUAACUUAUUUCUAUCAUUCGUAGAAGAGAGAUAUAUUUUGAAGAAAAGUUUUGAACUUACAUUGUAUCAUUUCUUCUACUUAUCUAUAUUAAAACUUUAAUUUAUUGAAUCAAAUUUGUAAAAUCAUAAUAUUCAUCAAAGUUCUUCAUCUCUCUUUUGGUACAUAAUUUAUACCUUAUUCAUUAAAAGAGAGCUAUUAUUUUGGGAGGAUUUUUGAACUAACAUUGUAUUUAUUUCUUCUUCAUCUUCUCAUCGAAAAACUUUGAUUGAUUCAAUUAAACUUUGAAAUCAUCAUAUUCAUUAAAGUUUUCUCAUCUAAAUAUGAACUAUCAUUUUUUGCUAUUCAUUAAAACGUUAAUCUCUCUUAGUAUUUAAUUCAUUGAAGUACUUUAUUUCGUUAUACUUAUGAGUCAUAUGGAGGCCCUGCAAAACUCAAUAGUGUAGUCGUAUUGAGAUCCCUUAAACUCGAGGUGGGUGCUGACAAAAACUGAGCCUUAGUAUUCAAUAUUGUGAAUUGAGGUUUCUUGAAUAAGGACUGGGACUUUGAGAUGGGUGUUAUAGAAGCCAUCACAGGAUUAAGAAAAAAUUAAUGACUUGGCGUGGACAGAUCAAACAAGGGUUAUUGUUGAGUGCAAACAAG
This 34212-nucleotide long non-coding RNA is filed under the name Olea europaea (common olive). RNAcentral describes it as "long non-coding RNA (OEUR_LNC006715)". The record is from RNAcentral. Lineage: Eukaryota; Viridiplantae; Streptophyta; Magnoliopsida; Lamiales; Oleaceae.